AUACGGAGGAUCCGAGCGUUAUCCGGAUUUAUUGGGUUUAAAGGGUGCGCAGGCGGCCAUUUAAGUCAGCGGUUAAAUCGUGGGGCUCCACCCCAUUCUGCCGUUGAUACUGGGUGGCUUGAUUGCGGUCGAGGUUGGCGGAAUUCGUUGUGUAGCGGGGAAAUGCAUAGAUAUGACGAAGAACACCGAUUGCGUAGGCAGCUGACCAGACCGCAAAUGACGCUCAUGCACGAAAGUGCGGGGAUCGAACAGGAUUAGAUACCCUGGUAGUCCGCACAGUAAACGAUGAAUACUUGUUUUCGGCGAUAUAAUGUCGGAGGCAAAGCGAAAGCGAUAAGUAUUCCACCUGGGGAGUACGCCGGCAACGGUGAAACUCAAAUGAAUUGACGGGG
RNAcentral lists this ribosomal RNA (392 nucleotides) under uncultured bacterium. RNAcentral's name for it is "partial 16S ribosomal RNA". It matches the Rfam family "Bacterial small subunit ribosomal RNA", at positions 523 to 918 of the family's 1533-position model. The record is from RNAcentral.